This 755-nucleotide ribosomal RNA is filed under the name uncultured bacterium. Its description in RNAcentral is "bacterial SSU rRNA". It matches the Rfam family "Bacterial small subunit ribosomal RNA", at positions 28 to 776 of the family's 1533-position model. The record is from RNAcentral.
AUUGAACGCUGGCGGCAGGCUUAACACAUGCAAGUCGAGCGGAAACGAUGAUAGCUUGCUAUCAGGCGUCGAGCGGCGGACGGGUGAGUAAUACUUAGGAAUCUACCUAGUAGUGGGGGAUAGCACGGGGAAACUCGUAUUAAUACCGCAUACGUCCUACGGGAGAAAGGGGGCAACUUGUUGCUCUCGCUAUUAGAUGAGCCUAAGUCGGAUUAGCUAGAUGGUGGGGUAAAGGCCUACCAUGGCGACGAUCUGUAGCUGGUCUGAGAGGAUGAUCAGCCACACCGGGACUGAGACACGGCCCGGACUCCUACGGGAGGCAGCAGUGGGGAAUAUUGGACAAUGGGGGAAACCCUGAUCCAGCCAUGCCGCGUGUGUGAAGAAGGCCUUUUGGUUGUAAAGCGCUUUAAGCAGUGAAGAAGACUCCUCGGUUAAUACCCGUGGACGAUGACAUUAGCUGCAGAAUAAGCACCGGCUAACUCUGUGCCAGCAGCCGCGGUAAUACAGAGGGUGCAAGCGUUAAUCGGAAUUACUGGGCGUAAAGCGAGCGUAGGUGGCUUGAUAAGUCAGAUGUGAAAUCCCCGGGCUUAACCUGGGAACUGCAUCUGAAACUGUCAGACUAGAGUAGGUGAGAGGGAGGUAGAAUUUCAGGUGUAGCGGUGAAAUGCGUAGAGAUCUGAAGGAAUACCGAUGGCGAAGGCAGCCUCCUGGCAUCAUACUGACACUGAGGCUCGAAAGCGUGGGUAGCAAACAGG